This 835-nucleotide long non-coding RNA is filed under the name Olea europaea subsp. europaea. Lineage: Eukaryota; Viridiplantae; Streptophyta; Magnoliopsida; Lamiales; Oleaceae. The record is from RNAcentral.
AUUUCCCAGAAAAAUCUGUUUUAAGAAGGGCCAAAUAUGCAUGAUCCAACCUAAAUUAGCCAAAACCAUGUCUCUGACUUCUAUACCUGAACUACCUAGUCCUCUUUCUUUUAUAGCCAUUCUUGGUAUCCUUGUUAUUUAUGUGGCAAUUUGCUAUUUAGUUCUUGAUCUUGUAAGUCAAGAUCAGAACACGAGUGUAGAGGAUUCAAAAACAGAUCACAGUGCUUAUUUUUGUCUGUUGAAGCAUUAAAUGAAAUAACUUGUGUGUACCAUGGAGAAAGAGCAAACACAACUUGUGCUAUCUGCUUGGACAGUUUCCGGCACGACGAAUUAUGCAGAAUUUUCCCAGCUUGCCACCAUCUUUAUCACGCUGUAUGUAUUGAUCCUUGGCUGUCGAGAAGGCUUACUUGUCCGAUUUGUCGAACACCAUUUCGCGUUAAACCCAGUCGCCAUGCUUGAAAUAGGUAUUUAACCAAUUGCUUAACUGCAAUUUGUUGCAAUAUGGAGAGAAAUUGUAAAGAAAAGACUGGAACAUGGUUAUAUAUAUGUUCUCGAGAGGUCAUUUGCAUGUGUCUAAAUAGAUAUUGUGCUUGCAUAUGGAAUUCCAUUUAGUUCACUUUUCAUUCUGAUUUUGUGGCCAUUAUAAUUAUCUCAAUGCUCAAAAAACAGGAGUAAUCAAAAGAAUCACAAUAGAAAUUUUGAGACCAUGUUUAUCUUAAUUUACAAACCACGAAGAAAAAUUUUGUGCUGCUUAAUUAAACUGUGACUUUACCUUUCAAAUCUUCUACACAACAAAAAUGGCAAGUCCAGAAUCACUUUUCAUUAAAGCCACAAG